This is a long non-coding RNA of Anguilla anguilla (European eel), 333 nucleotides long. RefSeq lists it as uncharacterized. The transcript has 2 exons. The record is from RefSeq and is a predicted model, not a curated record. NCBI's taxonomy places the organism in Eukaryota, Metazoa, Chordata, Actinopteri, Anguilliformes, Anguillidae.
ACUAAAGGAGGCGCGAUGCGAGAUCCAUGUGAGAAAUGUUAAGUCUGCGAAAACGGGGUAGAAUGUCAGUGUCGCCAUAUUCACUUCUCUUGAGGUGUACAUUUCGUUUAUUUUUGGAAAAUGGUCCGUCCGGAAGCCGACACUGAUGAAGAGCGGUGUCAUUUCGAACAGCGAACUGAUCCAGCUGAGGAUCAACUUCUUGCAUGCUGAUCAGGAAACACGGCCUAGUUCACCACUAGCUAAGAAGCCACGCAAGUGUUGCAAGAGUACAACCAGUCUCAUCUCAUCUUCCAUGCGUAUAGUUUGCUUCAAUAAAUGUUCUGAAAAUCAAAA